Molecule: ribosomal RNA, 497 nt
Filed under: uncultured bacterium
Lineage: Bacteria
Description: partial 16S ribosomal RNA
Rfam family: Bacterial small subunit ribosomal RNA
Source: RNAcentral
GAUGAACGCUGGCGGCGUGCCUAAUACAUGCAAGUCGAGCGAACGGACGAGAAGCUUGCUUCUCUGAUGUUAGCGGCGGACGGGUGAGUAACACGUGGAUAACCUACCUAUAAGACUGGGAUAACUUCGGGAAACCGGAGCUAAUACCGGAUAAUAUUUUGAACCGCAUGGUUCAAAGGUGAAAGACGGUCUUGCUGUCACUUAUAGAUGGAUCCGCGCUGCAUUAGCUAGUUGGUAAGGUAACGGCUUACCAAGGCAACGAUGCAUAGCCGACCUGAGAGGGUGAUCGGCCACACUGGAACUGAGACACGGUCCAGACUCCUACGGGAGGCAGCAGUAGGGAAUCUUCCGCAAUGGGCGAAAGCCUGACGGAGCAACGCCGCGUGAGUGGUGAAGGUCUUCGGAUCGUAAAACUCUGUUAUUAGGGAAGAACAUAUGUGUAAGUAACUGUGCACAUCUUGACGGUACCUAAUCAGAAAGCCACGGCUAACUACGUG